RNAcentral lists this transfer RNA (65 nucleotides) under Dipodomys ordii (Ord's kangaroo rat). It matches the Rfam family "tRNA". Rfam says of the family: Transfer RNA (tRNA) molecules are approximately 80 nucleotides in length. Their secondary structure includes four short double-helical elements and three loops (D, anti-codon, and T loops). The record is from Rfam by way of RNAcentral. Lineage: Eukaryota; Metazoa; Chordata; Mammalia; Rodentia; Heteromyidae.
GGUGGCUCAGUGGUAGAGUACUUGCCUUGCGUGCAUAAGGUCCUGGGUUCGAUUCCUCAGCACCA